Molecule: long non-coding RNA, 204 nt
Filed under: Amborella trichopoda
Lineage: Eukaryota; Viridiplantae; Streptophyta; Magnoliopsida; Amborellales; Amborellaceae
Description: long non-coding RNA (ATRI_LNC003494)
Source: RNAcentral
CAUCAUAAAUAUUUCAGUAUUGAACCAAUAUUUGCAGGUGCACCUUACUUUGAUUGUGUAGGGCUCCGGCCUUAUAUAAACCACACCCUUGUAUAAAAUACUCUAUAGUUCUUAAUAAAAAGAAAAAGCUCACAUAGAGUUGAGGUUCUAAACAAUCAAAGUAGAGCCCACUUUAAAUUGAUCGUUUCGACAUCAAGAUGUAUG